RNAcentral lists this ribosomal RNA (926 nucleotides) under Bacillus sp. 3LF 11TD. Its description in RNAcentral is "bacterial SSU rRNA". It matches the Rfam family "Bacterial small subunit ribosomal RNA", at positions 8 to 915 of the family's 1533-position model. Lineage: Bacteria; Bacillati; Bacillota; Bacilli; Caryophanales; Bacillaceae. The record is from RNAcentral.
AGAGUUUGAUCCUGGCUCAGGACGAACGCUGGCGGCGUGCCUAAUACAUGCAAGUCGAGCGGACAGAUGGGAGCUUGCUCCCUGAUGUUAGCGGCGGACGGGUGAGUAACACGUGGGUAACCUGCCUGUAAGACUGGGAUAACUCCGGGAAACCGGGGCUAAUACCGGAUGGUUGUUUGAACCGCAUGGUUCAAACAUAAAAGGUGGCUUCGGCUACCACUUACAGAUGGACCCGCGGCGCAUUAGCUAGUUGGUGAGGUAACGGCUCACCAAGGCGACGAUGCGUAGCCGACCUGAGAGGGUGAUCGGCCACACUGGGACUGAGACACGGCCCAGACUCCUACGGGAGGCAGCAGUAGGGAAUCUUCCGCAAUGGACGAAAGUCUGACGGAGCAACGCCGCGUGAGUGAUGAAGGUUUUCGGAUCGUAAAGCUCUGUUGUUAGGGAAGAACAAGUACCGUUCGAAUAGGGCGGUACCUUGACGGUACCUAACCAGAAAGCCACGGCUAACUACGUGCCAGCAGCCGCGGUAAUACGUAGGUGGCAAGCGUUGUCCGGAAUUAUUGGGCGUAAAGGGCUCGCAGGCGGUUUCUUAAGUCUGAUGUGAAAGCCCCCGGCUCAACCGGGGAGGGUCAUUGGAAACUGGGGAACUUGAGUGCAGAAGAGGAGAGUGGAAUUCCACGUGUAGCGGUGAAAUGCGUAGAGAUGUGGAGGAACACCAGUGGCGAAGGCGACUCUCUGGUCUGUAACUGACGCUGAGGAGCGAAAGCGUGGGGAGCGAACAGGAUUAGAUACCCUGGUAGUCCGCGCCGUAAACGAUGAGUGCUAAGUGUUAGGGGGUUUCCACCCCUUAGUGCUGCAGCUAAGGCAUUGUUCACUCCGCCUGGUGAGUACGAACACAAGGCUGAAACGCGCAGGAAGGGACG